Molecule: ribosomal RNA, 492 nt
Filed under: uncultured bacterium
Lineage: Bacteria
Description: partial 16S ribosomal RNA
Rfam family: Bacterial small subunit ribosomal RNA
Source: RNAcentral
AGUGAACGUUGGCGGUAGGCCUAACACAUGCAAGUCGAACGGCAGCACAGUAAGAGCUUGCUCUUACGGGUGGCGAGUGGCGGACGGGUGAGGAAUACAUCGGAAUCUACUUUUUCGUGGGGGAUAACGUAGGGAAACUUACGCUAAUACCGCAUACGACCUACGGGUGAAAGCAGGGGAUCUUCGGACCUUGCGCGAUUGAAUGAGCCGAUGUCGGAUUAGCUAGUUGGCGGGGUAAAGGCCCACCAAGGCGACGAUCCGUAGCUGGUCUGAGAGGAUGAUCAGCCACACUGGAACUGAGACACGGUCCAGACUCCUACGGGAGGCAGCAGUGGGGAAUAUUGGACAAUAGGCGCAAGCCUGAUCCAGCCAUACCGCGUGGGUGAAGAAGGCCUUCGGGUUGUAAAGCCCUUUUGUUGGGAAAGAAAAGCAGCAGGUUAAUACCCCGCUGUUCUGACGGUACCCAAAGAAUAAGCACCGGCUAACUUCGUG